This 462-nucleotide ribosomal RNA is filed under the name uncultured bacterium. RNAcentral describes it as "partial 16S ribosomal RNA". It matches the Rfam family "Bacterial small subunit ribosomal RNA", at positions 29 to 507 of the family's 1533-position model. The record is from RNAcentral.
AUGAACGCUGACAGAAUGCUUCACCCAUGCCAGUCGCUGGGGAAGUGGUGCUUGCACCAUGGUAACCAUGGCGGACGGGUGAGUAACGCGUAAGGAACUUACCUGCGGGACCGGGAUAACAGCAGGAAACUGCUGACAAGACCGGAUAAGGUCAUUAAGCUGCAUAGCUUAGUGAUGAAAGGAGACGCCUGCGGAGAGCCUUGCGUCCUAUUAGCUAGUUGGAGGGGUAACGGCCCACCAAGGCGAAGAUAGGUAGCCGGCCUGAGAGGGUGGACGGCCACAAGGGGACUGGGAUACGGCCCUUACUCCUACGGGAGGCAGCAGUGGGGAAUAUUGGACAAUGGGGGCAACCCUGAUCCAGCAAUUCUGUGUGCACGAAGACGGUUUUCGGAUUGUAAAGUGCUUUCAGCAGGGAAGAAGGAAGUGACGGUACCUGCAGAAGAAGCGACGGCUAAAUACGUG